GAAAUGCGAUAAGUAGUGUGAAUUGCAGAAUUCAGUGAAUCAUCGAAUCUUUGAACGCACAUUGCGCCCCUUGGUAUUCCAUGGGGCAUGCCUGUUCGAGCGUCAUCUACACCCUCAAGCUCUGCUUGGUGUUGGGCGUCUUUGUCCCGCCCCCGCGCGCGGACUCGCCCCAAAUUCAUUGGCAGCGGUCCUUGCCUCCUCUCGCGCAGCACAUUGCGCUUCUCGAGGUGUUGCGGCCCGCGUCCAGAAAGCAAUCGUUACCGUCUUUGACCUCGGAUCAGGUAGGGAUACCCGCUGAACUUAAGC
Molecule: unclassified non-coding RNA, 306 nt
Filed under: plant metagenome
Description: partial contains 5.8S ribosomal RNA, internal transcribed spacer 2, and large subunit ribosomal RNA
Rfam family: 5.8S ribosomal RNA (bases 1-105)
Source: RNAcentral